Molecule: non-coding RNA, 2061 nt
Organism: Carica papaya (papaya)
Lineage: Eukaryota; Viridiplantae; Streptophyta; Magnoliopsida; Brassicales; Caricaceae
Source: RefSeq, a predicted model, not a curated record
CUACUCUUCGACAGUAUUAUUUUUGUUCAGCAUUUUGUAAUUUUUUUUUUCUUCUGCUCUCCAUCAUCAUCAGUUUCUAACCCAAUAUACAUAUAUUUUUUUCUGCUGCUCUCCAGCAUCGCCAUUCUCCAACUCGACACAUAUUUUUUUUGCUACUCUCCGUCAUCACCAUUCUCCAACCCAAUAUAUUUUUUUUUACUGCUCUCCAUCAUCACCAUUCUCCAACCCAAUAAAUUGUUUUUUUUCCAACUCAUGGCAGAUUUCACUCUAUCUCCCACAAACACAACUUAGAAUAUGUUCAGUAGAAUUUUCCAACAACACCAGCAGCAGUAUAUCUCCCGCAUAUCGCCUUCUUUCUCUUAUGUUUCCACCUUUUCCUUUUGUUUUUUUAAGUAUCACGGGAGCAUGAAGACGGCAAAUAAGACAACCACAACGAAGAAGGACACAAGCGAAGUUUAUAUUGUUGGAAUAGAAGGGGAACAUCUUUUCAAGCUCUCUACAGCGGAAAUCAAGUGUCAUCAUUUGCAUGGGUGGUUUCGGCUCAUUGCAGUAGGUUCACGUUUGGCCAGGUCGGUCUGUAAUAUUGUUGCUGGAGCCUUCUCUGUUCAUCAUCAAAGCAUCUAUAAGCCGCUGGAGGAUAUCUUCGAUCUGAUUGAACUUCUCGGUGAACCCGAUUUCUAUUCGGCUCAAACGGUUCUGUAUGCCUUCCAGAUUGAUUUCUAGUUUUUAUGUUCUUUUUUCUUCGGUAACCAUGUCUUUGAUACCAAUUGAUAGGACCAGUCAGAAGCCUAUAAAUUUAGAUAAGAUUUUCUCUUUUAGGUGAUACCAAAUAAUUUCUAGUUGUUCAAUUGAUAGGGUCUAGUUUUUCCAUUUGGCUAAAACGGUUCUGUAUCCCUUCUAGACUGAUUUCUAGUUUUUCUAUUUUUUCUUCCUCGGUAACCAUGGCUUUUAUACCAAUUGAUAGGUCCUAGUAAGAAGCCUAUAAAUUUAGAUAAGGUUUUCUCUUUUGAAUGAGAAGAAAUUAUAGAUUUUUUUUGCAAUUCCAAGAUGAUUUUAUUGAUGUUGAUUAGGAACUUAAAUAUAAAAAAAAAAAGCUCAAUUGCUACUCCUGACUAACUAGGAAGCAGUUUUUGGAGAUUAAAGCAUAAAGGAUAAAGCUUGGACUAAAGUCUUGGCAACGGCUAGUAGAUUUGCUCGGUUCCCUUUUCCUCACAGUUUCCUUCUUUGGCUGCAGGUUUUCUUUUAUUCAUUCCUCUUCUGCACAUGCUCUCCUUCUGGAAAGCAUUGUCCUGGUGAAAGGAAAUAGCUGAAAAAUAAUUAUUGAAGAAUGUUUAUGUGUCGUUUUUUUUUCCUUUAUUUGAUGCAUCAUUUCUUUAUGUUUUUAAAAUGGUGCGUAUUUAGCUAGUUUGUUUUAGGUUGUUAUUUGUUUGGUUUUUUUUUUUUUUUUUUUUUUUUUUUUUUUUUGUUACAACUUUUUUGGCUCUUUGUGCAUGACUUCAGCAGCAGCUUCUCUCUCUAUAUAAGAAGCAUACUUCAACUGUAUUUCAGAUAUGAGAAUAUUUUAUGAAAUCAUCUUUCUCUCCAUUUUUCCGGUUUUAAUUAUGCUCAUGGUAUCAGAGUAUCAUGAUCCAUCGAGGACAUGAUUUGAGAGUUAGAUUGAGAGAUAAUGGAUACUGGAGGUUCAAGAUCAAUAUCCAACGGAAAUACUGCAGAGAUGCAGAUCUGCGACUUAAGAAUUUUGGAUAAGGAACCAAAUUUGUAGAAGUAGCAAAUUAUUUACAAUUACAGUCAUCAGAUAACCCAUUUAUGAUUCUGGUUACCACACCUCUUAAUGGAGAUAAUUACUUGACACGGAGCAGAGCUAUGAAAAUAGCUUUAGGAGCUAAGCAGAAACUGGGUUUUGUGAAUGAAAAAUAUAAGAAACCAAAGGAUGAAGAUUUAGAUGAGUUUGAACAAUGGAUUAAAGAUUGAUUGCAUGGUACAGUUAUGGAUUUUGAAUUCUAUUUCAAGAGAAAUCGUUGAUGCUUUUUUAUACAUUACAUCUGCACAAGAACUUUGGGA